AAAGAAAUAAAAUCUUUAAAAAAGAUUGGAAUGACACAGAGAGGAUUAGCAUGCCCGCUGCUCAGGGAUGCCACACAGAUCCGUGAAGACCCAGCCUUGCGG
This is a small nuclear RNA of Ursus americanus (American black bear), 102 nucleotides long. The record is from Ensembl. NCBI's taxonomy places the organism in Eukaryota, Metazoa, Chordata, Mammalia, Carnivora, Ursidae.